Molecule: non-coding RNA, 32 nt
Filed under: Homo sapiens (human)
Lineage: Eukaryota; Metazoa; Chordata; Mammalia; Primates; Hominidae
Source: RNAcentral
UAAGGAUGGAAGUGUCCCUUAAGAGGGCUGUA